GUGCUCGAUUAGGCAUCACAGAUACUAUAAACUGGAAUGAUACAGAGAAGAUUAGCAUGGCCCCUAUACAAAGAUGACAAGCAAAUUCAUUAAGACCUGGCUUAAUUU
Molecule: small nuclear RNA, 108 nt
Organism: Peromyscus maniculatus bairdii (prairie deer mouse)
Lineage: Eukaryota; Metazoa; Chordata; Mammalia; Rodentia; Cricetidae
Source: Ensembl